AAUGAACGUUGGCGGCAUGGAUUAGGCAUGCAAGUCGCGCGAUAAGAUUCCUUCGGGAAUCCGAAAGCGGCGAAAGGGAGAGUAACGCGUAGAUGAUCUACCCCGAGGACUGGGAUAGCGGCGGGAAACUGCCGGUAAUACCAGAUGAUGUCUCCGGACCAAGGGUGUGAUUCCGCCUUGGGAUGAAUCUGCGUCCUAUUAGCUAGUUGGUGAGGUAACGGCUCACCAAGGCGAAGAUGGGUACCGGGUGUGAGAGCAUGACCCGGCUCACUGGGACUGAGACACUGCCCAGACACCUACGGGUGGCUGCAGUCGAGAAUCUUCGGCAAUGGGCGAAAGCCUGACCGAGCAAUGCCGCGUGCGGGAUGAAGGCCU
RNAcentral lists this ribosomal RNA (375 nucleotides) under uncultured bacterium. RNAcentral describes it as "bacterial SSU rRNA". It matches the Rfam family "Bacterial small subunit ribosomal RNA", at positions 29 to 417 of the family's 1533-position model. The record is from RNAcentral.